RNAcentral lists this transfer RNA (75 nucleotides) under Exilibacterium tricleocarpae. Its description in RNAcentral is "Cellvibrionaceae bacterium R142 tRNA-Met". It matches the Rfam family "tRNA". Rfam says of the family: Transfer RNA (tRNA) molecules are approximately 80 nucleotides in length. Their secondary structure includes four short double-helical elements and three loops (D, anti-codon, and T loops). The record is from RNAcentral. Lineage: Bacteria; Pseudomonadati; Pseudomonadota; Gammaproteobacteria; Cellvibrionales; Cellvibrionaceae.
GUUUUUGUGGCUCAGUUGGGUAGAGCAAUCGACUCAUAAUCGAAAAGUCGCAGGUUCGAUUCCUGCCAAAAAACA